UACGUAGGGGGCAAGCGUUGUCCGGAUUUACUGGGUGUAAAGGGCGCGCAGGCGGAUUGACAAGUCAGAGGUGAAAUCCUGCAGCUUAACUGCAGAACUGCCUUUGAAACUGUCAAUCUUGAGUACGGAAGAGAGAGACGGAAUUCCAGGUGUAGUGGUGAAAUACGUAGAUAUCUGGAAGAACACCAGUUGCGAAGGCGGUCUCUUGGUCCGUUACUGACGCUCAGGCGCGAAAGCGUGGGUAGCAAACAGG
This 253-nucleotide ribosomal RNA is filed under the name uncultured bacterium. Its description in RNAcentral is "partial 16S ribosomal RNA". It matches the Rfam family "Bacterial small subunit ribosomal RNA", at positions 524 to 776 of the family's 1533-position model. The record is from RNAcentral.